CGCAGCUGCUGCAGCUCCGGCCCCGGGCGCGCCGCUCGCUCUGCGCGCGUGUGCGCCACAGAUAGGGAGGGACGGAACGCGGCGGGGCGCGGGGGAACGUGGACAAUGCGAACGCUGCGGCCCUGGGCGCCCCGCCCGGGCGCGGACCACACGGCUGCGGGCCCGCCCCACAGCGCCCCGCGGCGUCCUUCCCAAAUCUGCGGUCCCCAGGCACUGUCUGCGGCUGUGACGGGGUCUCUUAGAGCUGUCGGGAGAGACUACCAGGCCACUGUCGCCAAGUUUGUAUUUCCCCUUGAGCUCUGAAGAUUCUCCUCUGUGUUAAGGGGCUGUCUUCUGUCAAAAAAUACUUGCCAGAGCCCAAGGAGACAGUAACUGCACCUUCAAAGUUUGUUUUUAAAUGAAUAUUCUGUCAUUGGCCUAUUUAUUUACAAUAUGUAUUUUUAAGUCCUCUCAUGACUUAGAAUGGAAAACAAGCAAACAUUGAUGAACAUGAAACAGGUUUCAUGAAACAAGUUUAAUAAAAAGUCAUGGUACAAACUUUUUUACUAUUUUUUUUUCUUAUUGCUAAUUUUUAAACUCUCUUACUUUUUUACUAAAAGUCUUUCCCACAAUAACCAGUAUCACACAAUCAAUGAAAAUGACUUAAAAGAGGAAAAUUGCUGUGGACCAUUAUUAAAAAAACAGCUCUAUUUUGUUCUCGUACUGAAACUUUUUGAAGGCCAGCUUGAUUUUCAAGUUGUGAUCUUGUGGACUUUACAAAGUGGGUAAUGCUAUUUGACUGUUGUUCAAAAAGCCAGAAGCAUGUAUCUGCAGUGCCAUGGGGUUGGAGAGGGAUACAGGAUUACACAGCUGUCUUCUUAGAUAAAUCUGACCUACUUAGCCUUCUCUGGAGGUAUUUUUCAUGCUGACUCAUGAACAACAGGAAAGUUAUGGCCCAUUAAGUAGCAUCCAUGUUUUGAAGUAAACUUCUUCUCCAAAGAAGACUCCUGUGUCAUUGAUGCCAUUAUUUGCCUGCAGAUGAAAACCAAGCAAGUCUAUAAAUGUGAGUUACAUCUCAACACAUUCUACAUAAAAUUGACAGUGAAGCAUCAAGUCCAAAUCACCUGUCUCUAGUCUAGAGAAGAUUCAACACACCAGGUCACAUGGUGGGUUGUAAAGACUGAAAGAGAUACUAUAUGGUAAGCAUCUAGUAUACGUGUUAAUAAAUGCUAGUAAUGAUAUUAUCUUGCAUGCACAUUGUGGGGACAUGCCAGACCUUUCUUGAAUAUGGUAAAUUUGAUACUGAUAUUCAAUUAUUUUAAUUACCUAUUCAUUAUCCCUGAUCCUUUAUAACUCAGACACGCUGGAAAUGGGAAUGUUUAAUGAAAAUGUACAUGUAACAGCUGUUUGCUCUCUAUCUAUUUUGGGCUUCACCCCAAUCACAACAAUAAAACCAAGGGUUGCAUUAAACAACCACUA
This is a long non-coding RNA of Panthera uncia (snow leopard), 1458 nucleotides long. RefSeq lists it as uncharacterized. The record is from RefSeq and is a predicted model, not a curated record. The transcript is spliced from 3 exons. NCBI's taxonomy places the organism in Eukaryota, Metazoa, Chordata, Mammalia, Carnivora, Felidae.